UCCAGUCUAAAAACAUAAUUUUACGUAGAUAUAACAAUAUAUUUUAUGAAUAUUCCGUGUCAAUGAUAUCAUAAAUCAUUGCUGAUUGAAAUUUUCAAAAUACCUUUGCAGCAGUAUUUAUGACGCGUUGCCAACAUUUUGAUGCAAUGUCCAAAGAGUCAUCCUCUGCUGAGUACGAAUCAUCUUCCAUCUUGUAUUGUAAAAUUACCUUUUAUAUUAGCGUUAUAUUUCAAUAUAUAUCAUCGAUAAAAGAUAAAUCAAACGAAAUGAUCUCUCACAUAUGCGAAACGUAUCAUAUCAUGACUAUAGAAGUCUGUUGACUGCACCUAACCUCGAACAGUACUAAAGUACUGUAGUCAUACCGCCAUUGAUUGUUAAAACACCGUGAUAUAUAUCUCUCUCUAUAUAUACAGUGUUUCAGAAAUAGGAAUGAAUUGGGAUGCUUAUAACACUCCUUUAAUCGAAAAUGAUGGCAACCAGGAAGAGGAGUUACCACUUAAUUGAUCAUACUUUGACUUAUUUAUAAGAAUACUGGUCAUAAUCUUAUCAACAUCAUGUGUUUGUCCAUAAUAAUCAACAAACAAACCUUCUGGAUCGACUAAGUAUAUGAUAAUUGUGUGAUCCACCUGAAAAGAAAAAAUAAUGUACAGUCAAGUGUAUAAAUAGCAAAUAAAUUAUGCUUCAAGAAGUA
Molecule: long non-coding RNA, 691 nt
Organism: Odontomachus brunneus
Lineage: Eukaryota; Metazoa; Arthropoda; Insecta; Hymenoptera; Formicidae
Exons: 2
Source: RefSeq, a predicted model, not a curated record